RNAcentral lists this ribosomal RNA (257 nucleotides) under uncultured bacterium. RNAcentral describes it as "partial 16S ribosomal RNA". It matches the Rfam family "Bacterial small subunit ribosomal RNA", at positions 524 to 776 of the family's 1533-position model. The record is from RNAcentral.
UACGUAGGGUGCGAGCGUUAUCCGGAAUUAUUGGGCGUAAAGAGCUCGUAGGCGGUUUGUCGCGUCUGUCGUGAAAGUCCGGGGCUUAACCCCGGAUCUGCGGUGGGGUACGGGCAGACUAGAGUGCAGUAGGGGGAGACUGGAAUUCCUGGUGUAGCGGUGGAAUGCGCAGAUAUCAGGAGGAACACCGAUGGCGAAGGCAGGUCUCUGGGCUGUAACUGACGCUGAGGAGCGAAAAGCAUGGGGGAGCGAACAGG